UGACAAUGGGGGGGAUGGUGAUUAUGGGUGACAAUGGGGAUGGUGAUUAUGGGGUGGUGACAAUGGGGGGGUGACAACGGAGGGGUGGUGACAGUGGGAUGUGGUGACAGAUGUGACAAUGGGGAUGGCAACCAUGGGUGACAAUGGGGAUGGGGACAAUGGGAUGGCGACAAUGGGGUGGUAUCAAUGGGGAUGGGGACAAUGGGGACAGCGACAAUGGGGGGGUUGUCGACAAUGGGGGGUGGUGACAGUGGGGGGUGGUGACAGUGGGACGUGGUGACAGUGGGACGUGGUGACAGAGGUGACAAUGGGGGAUGGUGAUUAUGGGUGACAAUGGGGAUGGUGACAACGGGGGGGUGACAACGGGGGGGUGGUGACAGUGGGAUGUGGUGACAGAUGUGAUAAUGGGGAGUGGUGACAAUGGGUGACAAUGGGGAUGGUGACAAUGGGAUGGUGACAAUGGGUGACAAUGGGGAUGGGGACAAUGGGGACAGCGACAAUGGGGGGUGGUGACAGUGGGAUGUGGUGACAGAGGUGACAAUGGGGGAUGGUGAUUAUGGGUGACAAUGGGGAUGGUGACAAUGGGGUGGUGACAAUGGGGGGGUGACAACGGGGGGGUGGUGACAGUGGGACAUGGUGACAGAUGUGACAAUGGGGAGUGGUGACAAUGGGUGACAAUGGGGAUGGUGACAAUGGGAUGGCGACCAUGGGGUGGUAUCAAUGGGGACGGGGACAAUGGGGACAGCGACAAUGGGGGGGUGGCGACAAUGGGGGGUUGGUGACAAUGGGGGGUGGUGACAGUGGGGGCUGGUGACAGUGGGACGUGGUGACAGUGGGAUGUGGUGACAGAGGUGACAAUGGGGGAUGGUGAUUAUGGGUGACAAUGGAGAUGGUGACAAUGGGGUGGUGACAAUGGGGUGGUGACAACGGGGGGGUGACAACAGGGGGGUGGUGACAGUGGGAUGUGGUGACAGAUGUGACAAUGGGGAUGGCAACCAUGGGUGACAAUGGGGAUGGGGACAAUGGGAUGGCGACCAUGGGUGACAAUGGGGACGGGGACAAUGGGGACAGCGACAAUGGGGGGUGGUGACAGUGGGAUGUGGUGACAGAGGUGACAAUGGGGGAUGGUGAUUAUGGGUAACAAUGGGGAUGGUGACAACGGGGGGGUGACAAUGGGGGGGUGGUGACAGUGGGACAUGGUGACAGAUGUGACAAUGGGGAGUGGUGACAAUGGGUGACAAUGGGGAUGGUGACAAUGGGGUGGUAUCAAUGGGGACGGGGACAAUGGGGACAGCGACAAUGGGGGGGUGGCGACAAUGGGGGGGUGGCGACAAUGGGGGGUGGUGACAGUGGGGGGUGGUGACAGUGGGACGUGGUGACAGUGGGACGUGGUGACAGAG
RNAcentral lists this long non-coding RNA (1400 nucleotides) under Gallus gallus (chicken). RNAcentral's name for it is "lncRNA (ENSGALG00010010092.1)". Lineage: Eukaryota; Metazoa; Chordata; Aves; Galliformes; Phasianidae. The record is from RNAcentral.